RNAcentral lists this ribosomal RNA (425 nucleotides) under uncultured bacterium. Its description in RNAcentral is "bacterial SSU rRNA". It matches the Rfam family "Bacterial small subunit ribosomal RNA", at positions 64 to 507 of the family's 1533-position model. The record is from RNAcentral.
GAGCGGAAAGGCCCUUCGGGGUACUCGAGCGGCGAACGGGUGAGUAACACGUGAGCAAUCUGCCCCUAGCUUCGGGAUAGCUCCGGGAAACCGGAAUUAAUACCGGAUAUGACCAUGGCUGACAUCAGCCAUUGUGGAAAGUUUUUCGGCUAGGGAUGAGCUCGCGGCCUAUCAGCUAGUUGGUGGGGUAACGGCCUACCAAGGCGACGACGGGUAGCCGGCCUGAGAGGGCGACCGGCCACACUGGGACUGAGACACGGCCCAGACUCCUACGGGAGGCAGCAGUGGGGAAUAUUGCGCAAUGGGCGAAAGCCUGACGCAGCGACGCCGCGUGGGGGAUGAAGGCCUUCGGGUUGUAAACCCCUUUCAGCAGGGACGAAGCGAAAGUGACGGUACCUGCAGAAGAAGCCCCGGCUAACUUCGUG